GAAAGUGAUCACGCUAUUCAGGAGUAAGACUUGGGGGGAAUUUGGAAAAGAAAAGAAAGAAUCGAGAAGAGGCGCGACCGGCGCUCUUGAGGUCGCCUAAUUUCUGCAAGAGAGGCGUCUGGGAGGAUUUCGCACCGGGUGUUCGGAACAAGUUCACGGACCGUGGUGCUCGCCCAUCAUGGAUGUUCCAGGUCCGCUGGUGCCUUUCUUCUGAGGACGACCCCGGCCUUGACCAUCGGCGCAGGGGACCGAGGCCAGAGGAGGCUACUCACGGCCCCGCGCGUUCCCGCGCGCCCUCCCGCCCUCGCCGCGCCCCCG
Non-coding RNA from Delphinapterus leucas (beluga whale), 318 nucleotides. The record is from RefSeq and is a predicted model, not a curated record. NCBI's taxonomy places the organism in Eukaryota, Metazoa, Chordata, Mammalia, Artiodactyla, Monodontidae.